GGGGAAUAUUGGACAAUGGGCGAAAGCCUGAUCCAGCAAUGCCGCGUGAGUGAUGAAGGCCUUAGGGUUGUAAAGCUCUUUUGCCCGGGAUGAUAAUGACAGUACCGGGAGAAUAAGCCCCGGCUAACUCCGUGCCAGCAGCCGCGGUAAUACGGAGGGGGCUAGCGUUGUUCGGAAUUACUGGGCGUAGAGCGCACGUAGGCGGCUUUGCAAGUUAGAGGGGAAAGCCCGGGGCUCAACCCCGGAAUUGACUUUAAGACUGCAUCGCUCGAAUCCAGGAGAGGUGAGUGGAAUUCCGAGUGUAGAGGUGAAAUUCGUAGAUAUUCGGAAGAACACCAGUGGCGAAGGCGGCUCACUGGACUGGUAUUGACGCUGAGGUGCGAAAGCGUGGGGAGCAA
RNAcentral lists this ribosomal RNA (398 nucleotides) under uncultured bacterium. Its description in RNAcentral is "bacterial SSU rRNA". It matches the Rfam family "Bacterial small subunit ribosomal RNA", at positions 356 to 771 of the family's 1533-position model. The record is from RNAcentral.